Lipotes vexillifer (Yangtze River dolphin) is the source of this 73-nucleotide non-coding RNA. NCBI's taxonomy places the organism in Eukaryota, Metazoa, Chordata, Mammalia, Artiodactyla, Lipotidae. The record is from the annotation of a RefSeq genome assembly.
UCCCUGGUAGUCCAGUGGUUAAGACUCUGCGCUCCCAAUGCAGGGGGCCCGGGUUCAAUCCCUGGCCAGGGAA